This is a long non-coding RNA of Pygocentrus nattereri (red-bellied piranha), 2700 nucleotides long. RefSeq lists it as uncharacterized. The record is from RefSeq and is a predicted model, not a curated record. NCBI's taxonomy places the organism in Eukaryota, Metazoa, Chordata, Actinopteri, Characiformes, Serrasalmidae. The transcript is spliced from 3 exons.
GUAUCUGCGGAGCGAGCGGCGGACGGAGGAGUCCGUCACCGCGCUGUUCCGUUCGCGAGGCGCUUCUUAUGGAGUCAAACAACAGAGAGACGGUGACCAAUGCGAUUCAACGUUUUGUCAUCGCAGUCUCUCGAUUCUUCACAUGCCGUUGCUGGGUUGGAUCUGCAGGGGAACAUGAGCCCAGCCUUGCCGAGGAGGAAACAAACCGCAGUUCUGUCAGGCCCUGGUGUGUAGAAGAAGAAACACCAUGGCAUCCAAAUGACGUCAUUUCACCGUGAUGAUUCACUUAUGUAUCAGCACAGGCACUUUACAAAUCAGAAAGUUUCACUUUCUCAUGCCUUUGCUGCAAAGCCUUUCUGACGUGAAGCAUCAGACCACAUCUUUAAAGCCAACAUCUUUCACACUGGCAAGAGUUGAGCUCGUGUCCUUCAGAGAUCACCUCAAUGGAGAUGUGUGCAACACUGUAAAAAUGGGUGCUGAUCAAUGUCACCAUAGCUUUGCUAUCAUGAACUUGCAAACUUUAUUCCUGGCAUAUGUGCCUUUCUCUUGAAUGAACCCCACACCAAGCCAAGUUUUAAUACUUACUUUUAUAACCUAAGAAAAGCUCCACUAGUUUGCAUUGGAGCGCCUGUAGUUAGUAUGUAUCAUAUAUAAUCAGGGUCUAAAAUAUGAAUCACAGCCAGGAUGUAAAGUCCAGGAGCUUGGGAUUGUUGGAUUGGAAAAAAAAGAAUGUAAUGUGAUAGUGGUUUACAGUGCAUAAGUAUUACAGUGGAAGAGUGAUUGAGGUCCGCAAGAUGAAAUGUUUUCGAGAAUGAAAUAGUAAAUUUUUUUAUGCACUUAAUUAAAGUUCCAUAGCCAUGCAGAUGAUGUCAGUGACCUGAAAAUGCUGCAUAUCAGACUCAGGGCUGUAAUAUGAAUAAGCAAUAAUUACAAGAUAUAACAUUUAAUUGCUUCACAUGUUAAUUUUAAAGGCUCUAUAGAUUAAAUGUGAGGUGAUUAAUGUUUGUGUUAGUCUUGACUAUGAUUCAGGUUUUUAAACUUUUUUUAACUACCUUAAUCUUAAUCUACAAGACCAACGAAGUUGACCCAUAAAACUACAAAGGUUGUAUUCUUGCCGCUGAUUGCUUAUUGGUGAACUUCUCUUUACAUCCUUUUCUUUUUAGUAAACAAUUAUAUUUUGUUACUUCUACAGAGCCUUGGUGCUGUUUAGGUGCUUGGCCCUCCUGUAAGUGCCAUAUGUUUUUCAUUGAUAUUGUCCUGUUUUGCUUGUUUUUUUUGUUUUUUUAUUUGUCCCAGCAUGUCAGCAAUGAAAGGGAAAGUAAGGUUUAGCACAAAAAUGUUUUAAGUUUUAAGAUUUUACGAUCAUGUUUCUUGUUCUGUUAUACCUGGUGCUAGAAAUCUCUGUUGUUGACUGGAUCGGUUGCUGGACAUGGAAAAUAUACAGGGUACUGUAAUACAGGAUAGUGCAUUACACUGAAAAGUUUUGUAUGUUGCACUUUUAAGGCUUUAUUUUAAAUUUUGUUGAGCAUUCUUUUCAUUUGUUAAGUGACAUAUUUUAAUAUUUUGAAAAGCGGUAAAAGCAUAAAGCAGGACUGUGGACUUUUAUUAUCACUCUAUUUAUGAAGCACUUCUUAUGGAGACUGAUAGCAGAGGCAAGAAAUGACUCGAUUUAAUCGUAUUUGAUCAUCCUAAUUCAAGUCAUUUUUACAAUCUCAGACAAAUGAAAUUUUGGGUAGGCCUGGGGGAAAGUGGAUAGGUCAGUUUCGUAGACACACUUUCCAAAUGUGCUAAUGUCCUGCAAUGUCAUGUCAUCAGGUUGUAGCCUAUUCCCAAAAGCCAUGCUGUCAUCAACCUGCUCAUUCUCCUAAAACACCAGCAUGUUCUGACAAUCAACCCCAAUAAUAAAGUCACAAAGCUAAAGCAUACUGCCACAGCUGGCAUUUAAGACGACAUGACUGAUAUAAAAUCUGACAGCUGAUAUGUGCAAAGACAAGGAAACACAGCAGACCUAAACCUAAUAAAACCUAAACCUAAUAAUUAUUAAUUACAUAAUUCAUUACAUUUUAGCCAUUGUAGUAAAACUGACACAUUUUUUACAACUUUAGAUGGAAAGAAACGGGUCAGAAUCCGAUCUUUAAACAUCCCCAGUUACAUUGUUUAACUGCAACUUCUAGUUCAAACACUGGCAUAUUGAUGAACUGAUGGCUUAAGGCAUAACUGAUAGCAACAGUUGCUGCACAGUGAUUGGAGGACUGAGAAAUAGGACCUAGAUGGAGAGGUUAAUUCAUUGGCUGUAAUACAGUGACAGCACUUACAUUAAAAAUCAAACUGCAUUACCUUUAAACAUUCAGCUUAAUUAAUAUUUCCCCAAUUUAUAGACAGAUGAAGACACUGUUAGCCAGAAUUUCAGAAUGUUGUGAAUGUUUAAAGAAAUUAAACUGAUCUCAGAUUGUUCUUCUGUUGUUCUGUGAUUGUUCUGUUGUUCUGUAAUUGUUCUUCUGUUGUUCUGUCAUUGUUCUUCUGUUGUUCUGUAAUUGUUCUUCUGUUGUUCUGUGAUUGCCCUAGCCUUAUGUUUGUAAUAGUGUUAUUUAUGUAAUGUAGGCUAAUAGUGACUGAGUCAAUACGUCACACUUCAGUCAUUUCUCGUGGUCUGAACAGCCAUUUCGAAAGUGAAAUUAAAAAAAGGACAGAAUAGCGCCA